CCUACGGGCGGCAGCAGUGAGGAAUAUUGGUCAAUGGACGAGAGUCUGAACCAGCCAAGUAGCGUGAAGGAUGACUGCCCUAUGGGUUGUAAACUUCUUUUAUAUGGGAAUAAAACGUUCCACGUGUGGGAUUUUGUAUGUCCCAUAUGAAUAAGGAUCGGCUAACUCCGUGCCAGCAGCCGCGGUAAUACGGAGGAUCCGAGCGUUAUCCGGAUUUAUUGGGUUUAAAGGGAGCGUAGGUGGAUUGUUAAGUCAGUUGUGAAAGUUUGCGGCUCAACCGUAAAAUUGCAGUUGAAACUGGCAGUCUUGAGUACAGUAGAGGUGGGCGGAAUUCGUGGUGUAGCGGUGAAAUGCGUAGAUAUCACGAAGAACUCCGAUUGCGAAGGCAGUUCACUGGACUGCAACUGACACUGAGGCUCGAAAGUGUGGGUAUCAAACAGGAUUAGAUACCCGGGUAGUC
Molecule: ribosomal RNA, 460 nt
Filed under: uncultured bacterium
Lineage: Bacteria
Description: partial 16S ribosomal RNA
Rfam family: Bacterial small subunit ribosomal RNA
Source: RNAcentral